UACGUAGGGACCAAGCGUUGUUCGGAUUUACUGGGCGUAAAGGGCGCGUAGGCGGUCAGCACAAGUCAGUUGUGAAAUCUCCGGGCUUAACUCGGAAAGGUCAACUGAUACUGUGCGACUAGAGUGCGGAAGGGGCAACUGGAAUUCUUGGUGUAGCGGUGAAAUGCGUAGAUAUCAAGAGGAACACCUGCGGCGAAGGCGGGUUGCUGGGCCGACACUGACGCUGAGGCGCGAAAGCCAGGGGAGCGAACGGG
This 254-nucleotide ribosomal RNA is filed under the name uncultured bacterium. Its description in RNAcentral is "partial 16S ribosomal RNA". It matches the Rfam family "Bacterial small subunit ribosomal RNA", at positions 524 to 776 of the family's 1533-position model. The record is from RNAcentral.